CUGGCGGCGUGCUUAACACAUGCAAGUUCGAACGAAGAGCGAUGGAAGCUUUGCUUUCUAUCAAUCUUAGUUGGCGAACGGGUUGAGUAACGCGUAAUCAACCUGCCCUUCAGAGGGGGACAACAGUUGGAAACGACUGCUAAUACCGCAUACGAUCUAAACUCGGCAUCGAGGAUAGAUGAAAGGUGGCCUCUACAUGUAAGCUAUCACUGAAGGAGGGGAUUGCGUCUGAUUAGCUAGUUGGAGGGGUAACGGCCCACCAAGGCGAUGAUCAGUAGCCGGUCUGAGAGGAUGAACGGCCACAUUGGGACUGAGACACGGCCCAGACUCCUACGGGAGGCAGCAGUGGGGAAUCUUCCGCAAUGGACGAAAGUCUGACGGAGCAACGCCGCGUGAGUGAUGACGGCCUUCGGGUUGUAAAGCUCUGUUAAUCGGGACGAAAGGCCUUCUUGCGAAUAGUGAGAAGGAUUGACGGUACCGGAAUAGAAAGCCACGGCUAACUACGUGCCAGCAGCCGCGGUAAUACGUAGGUGGCAAGCGUUGUCCGGAAUUAUUGGGCGUAAAGCGCGCGCAGGCGGAUAGGUCAGUCUGUCUUAAAAGUUCGGGGCUUAACCCCGUGAUGGGAUGGAAACUGCCAAUCUAGAGUAUCGGAGAGGAAAGUGGAAUUCCUAGUGUAGCGGUGAAAUGCGUAGAUAUUAGGAAGAACACCAGUGGCGAAGGCGACUUUCUGGACGAAAACUGACGCUGAGGCGCGAAAGCCAGGGGAGCGAACGGGAUUAGAUACCCCGGUAGUCCUGGCCGUAAACGAUGGGUACUAGGUGUAGGAGGUAUCGACCCCUUCUGUGCCGGAGUUAACGCAAUAAGUACCCCGCCUGGGGAGUACGACCGCAAGGUUGAAACUCAGAGGAAUUGACGGGGGCCCGCACAAGCGGUGGAGUAUGUGGUUUAAUUCGACGCAACGCGAAGAACCUUACCAGGUCUUGACAUUGAUGGACAGAACUAGAGAUAGUUCCUCUUCUUCGGAAGCCAGAAAACAGGUGGUGCACGGUUGUCGUCAGCUCGUGUCGUGAGAUGUUGGGUUAAGUCCCACAACGAGCGCAACCCCUAUCUUAUGUUGCCAGCACGUAAUGGUGGGAACUCAUGAGAGACUGCCGCAGACAAUGCGGAGGAAGGCGGGGAUGACGUCAAAUCAUCAUGCCCCUUAUGACCUGGGCUACACACGUACUACAAUGGGAGUUAAUAGACGGAAGCGAGAUCGCGAGAUGGAGCAAACCCGAGAAACACUCUCUCAGUUCGGAUCGUAGGCUGCAACUCGCCUACGUGAAGUCGGAAUCGCUAGUAAUCGCAGGUCAGCAUACUGCGGUGAAUACGUUCCCGGGCCUUGCACACACCGCCCGUC
This 1399-nucleotide ribosomal RNA is filed under the name uncultured bacterium. RNAcentral's name for it is "bacterial SSU rRNA". It matches the Rfam family "Bacterial small subunit ribosomal RNA", at positions 36 to 1398 of the family's 1533-position model. The record is from RNAcentral.